UACGUAGGCAGCGAGCGUUGUUCGGAGUUACUGGGCGUAAAGGGUGUGUAGGCGGUUGUUUAAGUUUGGUGUGAAAUCUCCCGGCUCAACUGGGAGGGUGCGCCGAAUACUGAAUGACUAGAGUGCGGGAGAGGAAAGUGGAAUUCCUGGUGUAGCGGUGAAAUGCGCAGAUAUCAGGAGGAACACCGAUGGCGAAGGCAGCUCGCUGGGACGGUACUGACGCUGAGGCGCGAAAGCGUGGGGAGCAAACAGG
Molecule: ribosomal RNA, 253 nt
Filed under: uncultured bacterium
Lineage: Bacteria
Description: partial 16S ribosomal RNA
Rfam family: Bacterial small subunit ribosomal RNA
Source: RNAcentral